UUUUUAAAGGGAUAGAAUAGAUGAAAAGGAAAGUGAAAGCGAAACCACAAAUGGUAAGACCUGGAGCUUGCUGUGAGAAUUAGAGGUUGCCUUUCGAGACUGUUAGAGAAACCUCGGAAAGUCCUUGGGGUGUCCUUUCUAAGAGAGAAACGCAACAAAGACUGCUGUUCCCUCACCUCCUGGAAAGUUCCUGAAGAUGCCUGCAGUACAGACUCAGAGAAAGAGCACCCUCGUCAAUGAGCGCUGUCCUCACAGGUUCCAGGAUCACCUAGACGCUGGGUGCCUCUGAACCGAGGAGCAAGGCCUGGGCCAUGUCUGCACCCCGCUUCCCUGAGUCGACAACAGGGUCCUUGCUUUGCAGUUGCACCUAAAUACUGCCAGGAAAAACCACAGGGAAGGUGCUAACCCCCAGCAGAGCCAGCAUUUGGCUCCAGGUAUGGAGGUGCUGUGAGCCCCUGUGACGUGUGAAAUGGCAUGUGUAUUUUCUGGCAAAGACACUCUGAAUUUAAACAGAUUCUGAACUGGGUUUGUGACCUUCCCCGUGACACAGGCCUCCCAGAACUCUGCAAGGGAGAGGCUAUGUGGGCAUGUCCUUUUAAAAAACUGACUUUAUUUUCUCAGUCAAUUGCUUGAGAUAUUGUGGGAGAAACUCUUUAGGAGGCCUAAUAAAAUCAGGAUAUGGUCACAAGCAAAAUUUGUGCUGUAACCUGCUUCUGUUACAAGUCCCAUGUAGAAAUAGAUACUUCUCAAAAAAAGUUUACUAUAGCAAAUACAGUCAUUUAACACACACACACACAGUAGGGUUUUUAGUUGCCUUGUUUUCAAAGUCACAGUGUAAAAGACCCUCAAGCCCUACUUCAGCCACAGACGGCUGGCAAGGAGGCUGCUUUAAUCUCGGAAGUGGCCCCAGUCUUGUCAGUGAGGAAGUACCAGGCAGCAAAUGUUGAGAUUUUAGAGUAGUUUAAUGUUCAUUGUUUUGGGGCGGUGGGGGGUGGGGUGCAUUUUGAAAUUAUCAGGACUAACAAUUUAAAAAGGGUAGAACAAAGGAAAGAUGGAGAACUCAAAC
Long non-coding RNA from Bos taurus (domestic cattle), 1066 nucleotides. The record is from Ensembl. Lineage: Eukaryota; Metazoa; Chordata; Mammalia; Artiodactyla; Bovidae.